CCCAUACCAAGCAACCAUGACAAGUUGACAACAGUCUUAAGCAGAUUUUUCAGAAAACGAGCAGUAAUUCAUCCAAAAUUUCUGAGUACCAAAAAUGACUAAAUAUAUUCAUCAUCAUGAAAGAUUCUCUAGGAAGUCAUAAGAACUGAAGUUUACGAAGCACCUAAGAGAUGUAGUUUGGGCAAACGAGCAAAAAAGGAGAACAUUGAUCACACUACAAUAAGAACAUUACAUGAGUCUUCUAAGGCCACCGGUCAUCCAGAUCAGGCUUCUUGACAAAGAUUGAGUUGUAUUGUGGUCGUGACAUCUGCAGGUAAAGUCAUUCAAUAAUUAAAGAAGGACAUAUACUCCAGUCCAAACCAGAUAUAACAGACUAUAUAAGCCAAAGUACACUAGCAUCCCAAAGUUUAACCAAAUAGCAAAUAAACCUGAUUUGCUAACUCACCCAAGGUUUAACCAAAUAACAAAUAGACCUGAUUUGCUACUCAGGCAUAUCAAGGCGACAGCUAGUACUCAAAAGGCCAAAAGCCAAAACAACAUCGAUGCAAAUGAAAGGAUUAUCUAUAUGAUUGUUCGGUUGAAUUAGAGAAUAGUUCAAACAAAAGUUAUAUCUGGCACCAACAACCAAAAUGUGCCAUUCUACUUGUCAUGCAGCAGCACAUCAAUAUUAUGUGCGGAACUAUAGUGUUUGGAUAUAGUAAAACACCAAUUUUCCCAUGUUUUCAGUUGAAUUACUUACAGACAAUAAGAGAUUAAGAAUUUAAUCAAACCAAUGAUAAAACAGGAUAAGCGCUCUUCAAGGAAGGACACGCGGUACCAAACUGAUCGAAUCCAUGCCAAUCGGUCAUAAACAAACUGCGCGGACCUCUAUGUCCAAACAUGGCCUAGAGCUAGAGGUGAAAUUCGCAAGCGAGAAAGAGACGAGGAGCGAGCGCUUACGAGAUCCUUGAAGAGGACGAAGGCGAUGAGGAAGAAGAGGACGAAGAGGAUCUCGAACUCGGCGAGGCGGACGAAGCGGAACACCUUCUCCACCGCCCUCGUCAGCAUCCCGGGCUCCCCACGCCCUCCUCCCCUCCCACGCUGCUGCCGCAUCCUUCCCUCCCUCCCGGUCGCGCCGGCGCCGCCGUCAACUCCUCCUCGACACCUCGCUACCUCCACACAUUCCAGUUCCCGAAUACUCAGAGCCCUAGAGAUCAGAUAACCCUUAGAGAGAGAGAGAGAGAGAGAGAGAGAGGAGAGAAUAGAUACCGGAUCUCCGGCUGCGCGGGCGGCUGCGUGGAGGUCUGCGGCGACGGCGACACCUCGAUCGGUCGGCGCCGAAGCGGCGGAGGCGGAGGUCGCGGCGAGGGCCGAGGGAGGAGAGAGAGGUCAGAUGACUGGGAAUGAACGGAGCGGGUGCGGGUCUGGACCCUGGAACAUGGAUUCGGGUUUUGGGUUCUUCACCACUAUGCUAGCACGGG
Molecule: long non-coding RNA, 1460 nt
Filed under: Oryza brachyantha (malo sina)
Lineage: Eukaryota; Viridiplantae; Streptophyta; Magnoliopsida; Poales; Poaceae
Description: long non-coding RNA (OBRA_LNC002368)
Source: RNAcentral